Molecule: long non-coding RNA, 388 nt
Filed under: Numida meleagris (helmeted guineafowl)
Lineage: Eukaryota; Metazoa; Chordata; Aves; Galliformes; Numididae
Description: lncRNA (ENSNMEG00000017895.1)
Source: RNAcentral
GAAAGUAGCUGAAAGAGUUAUUUAGUGCAGUUCACCUAGCCCUUGCUGGAUGAAGUGUUGUGGCAGGCUUUGUAUGUGGAAGAGCUGAGUAAGAUUGCAGACUGAAGGGUUGAGGCAGGAUCCAUGUACAACUCUGAACUAUGAUAACUGAAAAGGAACCUCCCAACUUUUCACUUGGAGCUGCUAAAUGUGCUUGCAUACUUGGAUAUUGAAGACAGCUGCUCCAAAAACAGGUACUGCAUUGCAGAUGAUCUUUGUUUGGUCACACCAACUGGAGGAGUAUGGGGAGUCCUGACCUAAGAGACUCACUUUCCUGAAGGAACUAGGAUGACACUUUUUUAAAAUACAUUCCACAGGAUCAAGUGGUAGUUACAGAACAGAACUUCUA